Molecule: ribosomal RNA, 413 nt
Filed under: uncultured microorganism
Description: bacterial SSU rRNA
Rfam family: Bacterial small subunit ribosomal RNA
Source: RNAcentral
GAGUUGAUCCUGGCUCAGAUUGAACGCUGGCGGCAUGCCUUACACAUGCAAGUCGAACGGCAGCAUGAUCUAGCUUGCUAGAUUGAUGGCGAGUGGCGAACGGGUGAGUAAUACAUCGGAACGUGCCCUGUAGGUGGGGGAUAACUAGUCGAAAGAUUAGCUAAUACCGCAUACGACCUGAGGGUGAAAGGUGGGGGACCGCAAGGCCUCAUGCUAUAGGAGCGGCCGAUGUCUGAUUAGCUAGUUGGUGGGGUAAAGGCCCACCAAGGCGACGAUCAGUAGCUGGUCUGAGAGGACGAUCAGCCACACUGGGACUGAGACACGGCCCAGACUCCUACGGGAGGCAGCAGGUGGGGUAAUUUUGGACAAUGGGCGAAAGCCUGAUCCAGCAAUGCCGCGUGUGUGAGAAGGCC